GGCGCACGGGUGCGUAACGCGUGGGAACCUGCCUUUAGGUUCGGAAUAACUCAGAGAAAUUUGAGCUAAUACCGGAUGAUGUCUUCGGACCAAAGAUUUAUCGCCUUUAGAUGGGCCCGCGUUAGAUUAGAUAGUUGGUGGGGUAAUGGCCUACCAAGUCGACGAUCUAUAGCUGGUCUGAGAGGAUGAUCAGCCACACUGGGACUGAGACACGGCCCAGACUCCUACGGGAGGCAGCAGUGGGGAAUAUUGGACAAUGGGCGAAAGCCUGAUCCAGCAAUGCCGCGUGAGUGAUGAAGGCCUUAGGGUUGUAAAGCUCUUUUACCAGGGAUGAUAAUGACAGUACCUGGAGAAUAAGCUCCGGCUAACUCCGUGCCAGCAGCCGCGGUAAUACGGAGGGAGCUAGCGUUGUUCGGAAUUACUGGGCGUAAAGCGCGCGUAGGCGGCUUUUCAAGUCAGGGGUGAAAUCCCGGGGCUCAACCCCGGAACUGCCCUUGAAACUGGAUGGCUAGAAUACUGGAGAGGUGAGUGGAAUUCCGAGUGUAGAGGUGAAAUUCGUAGAUAUUCGGAAGAACACCAGUGGCGAAGGCGACUCACUGGA
RNAcentral lists this ribosomal RNA (601 nucleotides) under Qipengyuania nanhaisediminis. RNAcentral describes it as "bacterial SSU rRNA". It matches the Rfam family "Bacterial small subunit ribosomal RNA", at positions 97 to 733 of the family's 1533-position model. Lineage: Bacteria; Pseudomonadati; Pseudomonadota; Alphaproteobacteria; Sphingomonadales; Erythrobacteraceae. The record is from RNAcentral.